CACUCCUGCGGGAGGCAGCAGUGGGGAAUUUUGGACAAUGGGCGAAAGCCUGAUCCAGCAAUGCCGCGUGUGUGAAGAAGGCCUUCGGGUUGUAAAGCACUUUUGUCCGGAAAGAAAUCCUUGGCUCUAAUACAGUCGAGGGAUGACGGUACCGGAAGAAUAAGCACCGGCUAACUACGUGCCAGCAGCCGCGGUAAUACGUAGGGUGCGAGCGUUAAUCGGAAUUACUGGGCGUAAAGCGUGCGCAGGCGGUUUGCUAAGACCGAUGUGAAAUCCCCGGGCUCAACCUGGGAACUGCAUUGGUGACUGGCAGGCUAGAGUAUGGCAGAGGGGGGUAGAAUUCCACGUGUAGCAGUGAAAUGCGUAGAGAUGUGGAGGAAUACCGAUGGCGAAGGCAGCCCCCUGGGCCAAUACUGACGCUCAUGCACGAAAGCGUGGGGAGCAAACAGGAUUAGAAACCCCGGUAGUCCCAUGA
This 475-nucleotide ribosomal RNA is filed under the name uncultured organism. Its description in RNAcentral is "partial 16S ribosomal RNA". It matches the Rfam family "Bacterial small subunit ribosomal RNA", at positions 334 to 800 of the family's 1533-position model. The record is from RNAcentral.